GGGGUAAGAGCUGGGACGGAUCGGAAGAUCCGAAAAAGGACUCAUAAUCCGUCGGUCGUGGGUUCGAGUCCCACCCGCCCCA
This 82-nucleotide transfer RNA is filed under the name Streptomyces sp. SID8370. Its description in RNAcentral is "tRNA-Ser". The stretch from base 13 to 82 matches the Rfam family "tRNA". Rfam says of the family: Transfer RNA (tRNA) molecules are approximately 80 nucleotides in length. Their secondary structure includes four short double-helical elements and three loops (D, anti-codon, and T loops). RNAcentral also lists the same sequence under 1 other name. The record is from RNAcentral. Lineage: Bacteria; Bacillati; Actinomycetota; Actinomycetes; Kitasatosporales; Streptomycetaceae.